RNAcentral lists this ribosomal RNA (477 nucleotides) under uncultured bacterium. RNAcentral describes it as "partial 16S ribosomal RNA". It matches the Rfam family "Bacterial small subunit ribosomal RNA", at positions 30 to 507 of the family's 1533-position model. The record is from RNAcentral.
AUUGAACGCUGGCGGCAUGCCUUACACAUGCAAGUCGAACGGUAACAGGUUAAGCUGACGAGUGGUGAACGGGUGAGUAAUGUAUCGGAACGUGCCCAGUCGUGGGGGAUAACUGCUCGAAAGAGCAGCUAAUACCGCAUACGACCUGAGGGUGAAAGCGGGGGAUCGCAAGAACUCGCGCGAUUGGAGCGGCCGAUAUCAGAUUAGGUAGUUGGUGAGGUAAAGGCUCACCAAGCCGACGAUCUGUAGCUGGUCUGAGAGGACGACCAGCCACACUGGGACUGAGACACGGCCCAGACUCCUACGGGAGGCAGCAGUGGGGAAUUUUGGACAAUGGGCGCAAGCCUGAUCCAGCCAUGCCGCGUGCGGGAAGAAGGCCUUCGGGUUGUAAACCGCUUUUGUCAGGGAAGAAAAGGUUCUGGCUAAUACCUGGGACUCAUGACGGUACCUGAAGAAUAAGCACCGGCUAACUACGUG